Molecule: ribosomal RNA, 274 nt
Filed under: uncultured bacterium
Lineage: Bacteria
Description: partial 16S ribosomal RNA
Rfam family: Bacterial small subunit ribosomal RNA
Source: RNAcentral
AUACGGAGGGGGCUAGCGUUGUUCGGAAUCACUGGGCGUAAAGCGCGCGUAGGCGGGCUGUUCAGUCGAGGGUGAAAUCCCGGGGCUCAACCCCGGAACUGCCCUCGAUACUGGCAGCCUCGAGGUCGAGAGAGGUGAGUGGAAUUCCGAGUGUAGAGGUGAAAUUCGUAGAUAUUGGGAAGAACACCGGUUGCGAAGGCGGCUACCUGGACCGGUACUGACGCUGAGGUGCGAAAGCGUGGGGAGCAAACAGGAUUAGAAACCCUAGUAGUCC